Molecule: ribosomal RNA, 481 nt
Filed under: uncultured bacterium
Lineage: Bacteria
Description: bacterial SSU rRNA
Rfam family: Bacterial small subunit ribosomal RNA
Source: RNAcentral
AUGAACGCUAGCGGCAGGCUUAAUACAUGCAAGUCGAACGGUAACAGGUCUUCGGACGCUGACGAGUGGCGCACGGGUGAGGAACACGUACACAAUCUACCUUAUACUGGAGAAUAGCCCCGGGAAACUGGGAUUAAUACUCCAUAGUCUUUAAUGAUCACAUGAGAAAUAAAGUAAAGCUUCGGCGGUAUAAGAUGAGUGUGCGUCCCAUUAGAUUGUUGGUGAGGUAACGGCUCACCAAGUCGACGAUGGGUAGCUGGCGUGAGAGCGCGACCAGCCACACUGGCACUGAGACACGGGCCAGACUCCUACGGGAGGCAGCAGUAGGGAAUAUUGGUCAAUGGACGAAAGUCUGAACCAGCCCAUGCCGCGUGGAGGAUGACUGCCCUCUGGGUUGUAAACUCCUUUUAUAUGGGAGGAAACCUCUGGAUUCACUCCAGAGCUGACGGUAUCAUAUGAAUAAGCACCGGCUAACUCCGUG